RNAcentral lists this ribosomal RNA (537 nucleotides) under Allobates nidicola. RNAcentral describes it as "partial 16S ribosomal RNA". It matches the Rfam family "Bacterial large subunit ribosomal RNA", at positions 1919 to 2616 of the family's 2925-position model. The record is from RNAcentral. Lineage: Eukaryota; Metazoa; Chordata; Amphibia; Anura; Aromobatidae.
AUUGUUCAACGGCCGCGGUAUCCUAACCGUGCGAAGGUAGCGUAAUCACUUGUUCUUUAAAUGAGGACUAGUAUGAACGGCUUCACGAAAGCUAUACUGUCUCCUUUAUCUAAUCAGUUAAACUAAUCUCCCCGUGAAGAAGCGGGGAUGCCCAUAUAAGACGAGAAGACCCUAUGGAGCUUUAAACAUCUCUAGACAUUUGAACAUUCACAAUUUUAAGCCUCACUAAAUUCAUCAUUUUGUCUUAAGUUUUAGGUUGGGGUGACCGCGGAGAAAAAACUAACCUCCACAUAGAAAGAACCUCCCUUCUAAGCAAAAAGCCACAUCUUUAUGCAUCAACACAUUGACCUUAAUUGACCCAAUUACUUGAUCAACGAACCAAGUUACCCUAGGGAUAACAGCGCAAUCCGCUUUGAGAGCUCCUAUCGACAAGCGGGCUUACGACCUCGAUGUUGGAUCAGGGCAUCCUAGUGGUGCAGCAGCUACUAAUGGUUCGUUUGUUCAACGAUUAAAGCCCUACGUGAUCUGAGUUCAGAC